AAUGAACGCUGGCGGCGCGCCUAAUACAUGCAAGUCGAGCGAGAAGACGUAGCAAUACGUUUGUAAAGCGGCGAACGGGUGAGGAAUACAUGGGUAACCUACCCUAGAGUGGGGAAUAACUAGCCGAAAGGUUAGCUAAUACCGCGUACGCUCCUUGGACUUCGGUUCAGGGNGGAAAGCGAUGCCGAGGGUAUCGCGCUCUUGGAUGGGCUCAUGUCCUAUCAGCNG
This 228-nucleotide ribosomal RNA is filed under the name uncultured bacterium. RNAcentral's name for it is "partial 16S ribosomal RNA". It matches the Rfam family "Bacterial small subunit ribosomal RNA", at positions 29 to 247 of the family's 1533-position model. The record is from RNAcentral.